RNAcentral lists this ribosomal RNA (492 nucleotides) under uncultured bacterium. RNAcentral's name for it is "partial 16S ribosomal RNA". It matches the Rfam family "Bacterial small subunit ribosomal RNA", at positions 29 to 507 of the family's 1533-position model. The record is from RNAcentral.
AGUGAACGCUGGCGGUAGGCCUAACACAUGCAAGUCGAACGGCAGCACAGUAAGAGCUUGCUCUUACGGGUGGCGAGUGGCGGACGGGUGAGGAAUACAUCGGAAUCUACUUUUUCGUGGGGGAUAACGUAGGGAAACUUACGCUAAUACCGCAUACGACCUACGGGUGAAAGCAGGGGAUCUUCGGACCUUGCGCGAUUGAAUGAGCCGAUGUCGGAUUAGCUAGUUGGCGGGGUAAAGGCCCACCAAGGCGACGAUCCGUAGCUGGUCUGAGAGGAUGAUCAGCCACACUGGAACUGGGACACGGUCCAGACUCCUACGGGAGGCAGCAGUGGGAAAUAUUGGACAAUGGGCGCAAGCCUGAUCCAGCCAUACCGCGUGGGUGAAGAAGGCCUUCGGGUUGUAAAGCCCUUUUGUUGGGAAAGAAAAGCAGCAGGUUAAUACCCCGCUGUUCUGACGGUACCCAAAGAAUAAGCACCGGCUAACUUCGUG